Molecule: long non-coding RNA, 940 nt
Filed under: Monodelphis domestica (gray short-tailed opossum)
Lineage: Eukaryota; Metazoa; Chordata; Mammalia; Didelphimorphia; Didelphidae
Description: lncRNA (ENSMODG00000033056.2)
Source: RNAcentral
AGAAACAACUGACUGACCCCCUGGGCUGUCCAAAAGCCAAGUUUUAAGCACUAUUGGUACAUGUGAGACACAGGAAGUGACAUAAAGAAUUGCCUUUAUAUUUUGCAUCACUUCCUGUGAGAGGGCUGGGUGGUGAAACUUGACUGUGAAGGAGCUUGAGUGUGAGACCUUAGACUGCUUCCCUUAGAUUGUCAUGUGGUGGACCCACCCCUAGCUUUUCACUACUAACUACUAAUGAAAUUAAAGUUAAUUCGAAAGAGUCAUAGAACCAGACACUUUUCUUUCAGAAAGGAUGGGAUCUGCCACCCAUCAUUGGAUUAUAAGUCAUUUGGGGCACUCUGCUGAAAGGACAUUACCAAUAAACUAAAAUACUUCCCCAACCUAUCAUUUCAACUAAGAAUUCAUGGACAUAUCAAUGUGGCAGUGUAUUCUCAAGCUUUCUUCCCUACGAAUAUGCAGAAAUUUUACUGGGUAUACACAUCCCUAUAUGUCUAUUCUGCAUUGGAUCCAAUAUAAUUUGAAUUAACUUGAUCAAACAAAACUCUUUCUUCUAAAGUCAUUGAAGUCCAGUGUCAAGAAAAAAGCCAGGAUGACUAGAGAUGGCUAAGGAUGCAGUGGAUGAUCUUGGCUUCUUUGAUGUGUAACCAAGUCUUCAUAUGCUUGUAGCAGAACUAGUUCACUGAAGGACUUGAGUAUUGUUGGUUAACCUCAACCUGGUUUAUCCUGUCUUCUGAAAUGUUUUUUUACUGGGAUGUGGCCACUACAAGAUGCUACUGCUUCUUCAACCCACAGGAGAUCAUCUUUCACAUCCAAUUUCCCUUCUUUGUGCUAUUGGAAACUGUGGCCUAACUCCAGAGAAGAGGGCAUGAGUGAUCUAAGAUAUCAGAUGCAGAAGAGGAACCUAGACAUGGUUCUAGAUCCAAAGGAACAUGGAACAUAG